ACAUGCUGUAUGUUGCUUCUGCUCGCCACUCUCUGCUUCCAGCUACUGCCACCGGACAGCCCUUUGUUUUCAGGGCUGAAAGAGGAGCCGAGUGUGUGUCGCCUCCUCUGCCGGUACAUAGCCUCUCACACUGCCAAGACCUGGUACACGCCUCCCCGUGGCACACAUGGGAACUGGUCCCUUGUGGUUCCAGGCUAAGUUGUACAGGAUCUCGGAGCAGCAGUGGGCCCCAGAGACGUGGCAUGCAGGCGCAUCGGUGAGUAGAAACGCCCUGAUGCCCGUCAACCACUGCCCCAGCUAUGGACAAAUAGCCCCAGCUAUGGGUAAAUAGUGAAGACCCCAACAGAUGUUGGUGUGAGAACCACCACAACGCCUGGGAAGGAGGAACACGGCACCCCCACAGCCACGUGGGUUAAAUCGGGAGGGUACAGCGGCUAAGGGAGAAAACCCUGUGGAAAUGUGUAGCAGAGGCGAUGAUGAGAUGACUGUGAUCACCUGGCCGGUCCUCCCAGACUGUUUAACCCCCGCCUGCCCGAGACCAGGAGGCUGCAUUCUACCGAUGGCGCACCAACAUGUUUUCUCUCUGUUAACUACUGACAACAUGCACCUCACAUUCUCCAUCACAUCCAUCCACCAACAUUCAUCACUGAUACUGACAAUCACACCUCAUCGUGCUCUUGUUUGCAUCAUUAUUUAAUAAAUGUCACUUAUUAUUGUCA
Long non-coding RNA from Etheostoma spectabile (orangethroat darter), 719 nucleotides. RefSeq lists it as uncharacterized. NCBI's taxonomy places the organism in Eukaryota, Metazoa, Chordata, Actinopteri, Perciformes, Percidae. The record is from RefSeq and is a predicted model, not a curated record. The transcript is spliced from 2 exons.